Molecule: ribosomal RNA, 460 nt
Filed under: uncultured bacterium
Lineage: Bacteria
Description: partial 16S ribosomal RNA
Rfam family: Bacterial small subunit ribosomal RNA
Source: RNAcentral
CCUACGGGGGGCAGCAGUGAGGAAUAUUGGUCAAUGGGCGCGAGCCUGAACCAGCCAAGUAGCGUGAAGGAUGACUGCCUUACGGGUUGUAAACUUCUUUUAUAAAGGAAUAAAGUGAGGCACGUGUGCCUUUUUGUAUGUACUUUAUGAAUAAGGAUCGGCUAACUCCGUGCCAGCAGCCGCGGUAAUACGGAGGGUCCGAGCGGUAUCCGGAUUUAGUGGGAUUAAAGGGAGAGUAGAUGGGUUGUUAAGUCAGUUGUGAAAGUUUAUGGCUCAACCGUAAAAUUGCAAUUGAUACUGGCAGCCUUGAGUACAGUUGAGGUAGGCGGAAUUCGUGGUGUAGCGGUGACAUGCUUAGAUAUCACGAAGAACUCCGAUUGCGAAGGCAGCCUACUAAACUGCCACUGACAUUGAUGCUCGAAAGUGUGGCUAUCAAACAGGAGUAGAUACCCCUGUAGUC